GCAGUUAUUAUCCAGAAACCAUAAAUGGCGACUGGAUGAAGGACGAAACUAUUGUACAGGCUGUAAUGGCCCCUGACCAGCCUAGAGAAGCCAUUUGUGAAAUGAGCACUUGAUGGAUACGGUGGAGCUGCAGCUGUGGUACGUGGGAGACAAGCUUCGUCAUCGUGUGGAACGAUGCAAGGGAUGUUACCAUUCUAUACUCAUCAUAGAAAAAACUAUUGCAAUAGCCACCCCCACAGGUGAAGAAUGAGAAAAGACUUUUACUCUUAUUGACCCAGAACUUCUACAGCACAUUCAUACCAACUUUCUACAAGUUACAAGACUUCAUCGACAAUUCCAGUGCCAGACAAAUUGAAAACUGUCUGAGUCGUAGCCAGGAGUUUUAUGGAUUCAACUGUCCAGGACCAAACGAUAUAAUAAUAGAAUAUUUUUUAUUUGUCUGACCUUUGACUGAUUAAUGAAAUAAACAACUCAUGAAAUCGGAAAAUUUGUUAUCUGUUAGUUUCAUAAAUAAUAUUGAGUCAAAUGAAUUUUAUAAAGUUUCUGGUCACAGCAAACUAUCAACAGAAGCUUCCUCGGACAGAUGUAAAUAUAAACCUUUUUUAGAAUUACUAUUUAAUUUUUAUUUUGACUCAGCCAAGAUAAUUAUACAGUAAUAUACUGUAAAUCAUGAAAUUAAUGAAAUUAAUAUGAAAAAUGUGAAUGUCUUGCUCACAUUACUAAAGUGACAUAAUUUUAUCACAGCAUAUUGGAGUUUAUAGUCAUGUCAGGUUCACUACACAUGGGCCGAAACACUGACAUACAUAAAGCUCACACGUUGCAAAGUAAGGGCGAGAUUCCAUGUGUCAAGUUCAUCAAGCAGUCAUUAUAGUCGCCUACCUUCUACCCAGUGUUGUGCAUAACUUUUUAAAAUGGUGUACAUUAUAUAAUUUUGAUGUCCAAGGUCUGUGAAGAAAUGAGA
Haliotis rufescens (red abalone) is the source of this 961-nucleotide long non-coding RNA. RefSeq lists it as uncharacterized. The transcript is spliced from 3 exons. NCBI's taxonomy places the organism in Eukaryota, Metazoa, Mollusca, Gastropoda, Lepetellida, Haliotidae. The record is from RefSeq and is a predicted model, not a curated record.